Molossus molossus (Pallas's mastiff bat) is the source of this 105-nucleotide small nuclear RNA. The record is from RefSeq and is a predicted model, not a curated record. NCBI's taxonomy places the organism in Eukaryota, Metazoa, Chordata, Mammalia, Chiroptera, Molossidae.
GUUCGCUUCGGCAGCACAUAGACUAAAAUUGGAAUGAUAUAGAGUAGAUUAGCAGGGUCCCUGAACAAGGAUGAUGUGCAAAUUUGUGAAGCAUUUCAUAUUUUU